UAGCCGUAAACGAUACUCGCUAGGUGUCGGCCACGGUGCGACCGUUGUCGGUGCCGUAGGGAAGCCGUGAAGCGAGUCACCUGGGAAGUACGGCCGCAAGGCUGAAACUUAAAGGAAUUGGCGGGGGAGCACCACAACGGGUGGAGCUUGCGGUUUAAUUGGAUUCAACGCCGGAAAUCUUACCGGGACCGACAGCAACAUGAAGGCCAGGCUGAAGACUUUGCCGGAUUAGCUGAGAGGAGGUGCAUGGCGUAGUCGUGU
This 261-nucleotide ribosomal RNA is filed under the name uncultured archaeon. RNAcentral describes it as "partial 16S ribosomal RNA". It matches the Rfam family "Archaeal small subunit ribosomal RNA", at positions 748 to 1009 of the family's 1478-position model. The record is from RNAcentral.